CUCCAACCUCAACUCCAUCGUCAGUGUCCAAAUUGGCACUGGCAGAACGAGUGGAAGCUUCCCCAAUGGCCCCUUAAAGCAAAACACUGCCUACAGGAUCAGUUUCCGCGUCUACACGUACAUUCCAAACGCACGCUCCGUCAGCGCUGGAGGGGUAGCCAUCUACACGGACACACGUUUCUCUCUACCACUCAUGACAUUAUCCAGCUCGGGAAGCAUCAUUGGCCCUGUGGUGGGAGCUGUGGUGGGAGGUGUGUUGGGAGGUGUGCUGGGAGCGUUUGUGAUCAUUGUUGGAGGGGUCUUACUCUACAUACGCCGGAAGCAGCUAAAUUGUUUCAAGAAACCAGAUUCCACACAGCAAAUUGG
Long non-coding RNA from Lethenteron reissneri (Far Eastern brook lamprey), 366 nucleotides. RefSeq lists it as uncharacterized. NCBI's taxonomy places the organism in Eukaryota, Metazoa, Chordata, Hyperoartia, Petromyzontiformes, Petromyzontidae. The record is from RefSeq and is a predicted model, not a curated record.